This 258-nucleotide ribosomal RNA is filed under the name uncultured bacterium. RNAcentral describes it as "partial 16S ribosomal RNA". It matches the Rfam family "Bacterial small subunit ribosomal RNA", at positions 524 to 782 of the family's 1533-position model. The record is from RNAcentral.
UACGUAGGUGGCAAGCGUUGUCCGGAUUUACUGGGCGUAAAGCGUGCGCAGGCGGUUUGCUAAGAGAGAUGUGAAAUCCCCGGGCUUAACCUGGGAACUGCGUUUCUAACUGGCAGGCUUGAGUGUGGCAGAGGGGGGUGGAAUUCCACGUGUAGCAGUGAAAUGCGUAGAGAUGUGGAGGAACACCGAUGGCGAAGGCAGCCCCCUGGGCUAACACUGACGCUCAUGCACGAAAGCGUGGGGAGCAAACAGGAUAGA